CGCGUAGGCGGCCCGGCAAGUCAGUGGUGAAAGCCCGAGGCUCAACUUCGGGUCGGCCACUGAUACUGCUAGGCUUGAGUCGACUAGAGGCAGAUGGAAUUCCGGGUGUAGCGGUGGAAUGCGUAGAGAUCCGGAAGAACACCGGUGGCGAAGGCGGUCUGCUGGGGUCGAACUGACGCUGAGGCGCGACAGCGUGGGGAGCAAACA
RNAcentral lists this ribosomal RNA (207 nucleotides) under uncultured bacterium. Its description in RNAcentral is "partial 16S ribosomal RNA". It matches the Rfam family "Bacterial small subunit ribosomal RNA", at positions 568 to 774 of the family's 1533-position model. The record is from RNAcentral.